Small nucleolar RNA from Coffea arabica (coffee), 137 nucleotides. RefSeq annotates it as small nucleolar RNA snoR136. Lineage: Eukaryota; Viridiplantae; Streptophyta; Magnoliopsida; Gentianales; Rubiaceae. The record is from RefSeq and is a predicted model, not a curated record.
GUGGCUUUGCUUGGUUUUUAUUGGUUUACACAGUCUCAUACCAUGUGUUGAACUAUUUAAAGUGAAGCCAGAAAAUUGUUUCUCUCGCUAUCCAGUGCUUCAAUUGUGGAGCAUUUGGACGUUGGGAAACUACAUCU